RNAcentral lists this ribosomal RNA (253 nucleotides) under uncultured bacterium. Its description in RNAcentral is "partial 16S ribosomal RNA". It matches the Rfam family "Bacterial small subunit ribosomal RNA", at positions 524 to 776 of the family's 1533-position model. The record is from RNAcentral.
UACGUAGGGUGCAAGCGUUGUCCGGAAUUAUUGGGCGUAAAGAGCUCGUAGGCGGUCUGUCGCGUCGGCUGUGAAAACUCGGGGCUCAACUCCGAGCUUGCAGUCGAUACGGGCGAGCUAGAAUUCGGUAGGGGAGACUGGAAUUCCUGGUGUAGCGGUGAAAUGCGCAGAUAUCAGGAGGAACACCGGUGGCGAAGGCGGGUCUCUGGGCCGAUAUUGACGCUGAGGAGCGAAAGCGUGGGGAGCGAACAGG